AACUGAUACUACCUGCGGGAACCUGCGGAGGGAUCAUUACCAGUUGUGCCUCGCCGUCGAUGCCCUGACGUCUCCGCUCCCGUUUUCUCGGGUGGGUGCUUGAAAAAAGUACCCGUCCGGGGGGGCUGCCUCCCUUGGAAAAGGAAGAUUGGCGCCCUGACGAACGGUCGUAGCGUCUCGAGACGCGGGUUCCGGCUUGAAGUGCCUCCCACCCGUGAACACUGAACCUCAUGUUGCCUU
This 240-nucleotide unclassified non-coding RNA is filed under the name soil metagenome. Its description in RNAcentral is "partial contains 5.8S ribosomal RNA, internal transcribed spacer 2, and large subunit ribosomal RNA". The record is from RNAcentral.